Long non-coding RNA from Octopus bimaculoides (California two-spot octopus), 1466 nucleotides. The record is from RefSeq and is a predicted model, not a curated record. Lineage: Eukaryota; Metazoa; Mollusca; Cephalopoda; Octopoda; Octopodidae.
GAAGAAGAAGAAGAAGAAGAAGAAGAAGAAACAACAACAACAACUAUUAUAAUUGUUAUUAUUAUUAUGAUGGAAAGUGUCGCAGACUAAGGCGACACUUGCUUACUGGCCAUGCUUCAUGAACCCUGCCAAGAAUUCCUGCAGUUCCCAGCAAUGCUGAUUUUUUGUAGCUGUUCUACCUUUACAUUUGUACCAAUCCUUUUCGGCCAUGUUGGUAGUUGAGUGCUGAUCCUUCCAACUGCACCAAUUACUAUUGACAUCACGUCUACUCACUUCAUUGAUGCCUCCUCCAAAAUGGUGUAGGCAUUGUGCAGAUGUGGUGUGCCGUGCUUAACCAAAUCCACUACAAGGCUUUGAUCGCUCCGGUGUUAUAUUUGAAGACACUUGCGCAAGGCGCAACACAAUGGGACCGAACGGAACACUACGUGGUUGAGAUGCAAAGUUCCUAUCACGCUGCUAUGCUUGCACAAGGCCCGAAAUUUUGGGGGAGGGGCCAGUCGAUUAGAUCGACCCCACUGGGCAACUGGUACUUAAUUUAUCGACCCCGAAAAGAUGAAAGGCAAAGUCGAACUCGGUGGAAUUUGAACUCAGAACAUAAAGACCGUGAAGCAUUUCGCCCGCGUGCUAACGUUUCUUAUUUCUUUAUUGCCCACAAGGGGCUACACACAGAGGGGACACACAAGGACAGACAAAGGGAUCAAGUCGAUUACAUCGACCCCAGUGCGUAACUGGUACUUAAUUUAUCGACCCUGAAAGAAUGAAAGGCAAAGUCGUCCUCGGCGGAAUUUGAACUCAGAACGAAAUUUGAAGUCAGACGAAAUACCGCUAAGCAUUUCGCCCGGCGUGCUAACGUUUCUGCCAGCUCGCCGCCCUAAGUCCAUCACAAAUAUUUAUUUCUUUAUUGCCCACAGGGGGCUAAACAGAAAGGAGAAACAAGGACAGACAAAGGGAUUAAGUCGAUUACAUCGACCCCACUGCGUAACUUAUACUUAUCUAAUCGAGGUCGACUUUGCCUUUUAUCCUUUCGGGAGGAAAGGCCAAGUCUGCCUCAGCGGAAUUUGAACUCAGAACGUAACAGCAGAAGAAAUACCGCUAAGCCCUUCAUCUGGCGUGCCAACGUUUCUGCCAGCUCGCCGCCCUAAAAUGAUCAAAAACAUUCUUUUCUACUCUAAGCACAAGGUUCGAAAGUUCGGGGAAGAGGGCCAGUCAAUUAGAUCAGCCCUACUACGCAACUGGUACUUACUUUAUCGACCUCGAACAGAUGAAUGGCAAAAUUCGACCUUGGCGGAAUAACCAUCACAAAUAUUCUUUUCUACACUAAGCACAAGGCUUGAAAUUUUGGGGGAGGGAUCCAAUUUUUUAGAUCGACCCCAAUACGCAAUCGGUACUUAAUUUAUCGACCCCGAAAGGAAUAACCAUCUCAAAUAUUGAGCCACUUUGCAAGUAACCUCACGCCAGUUCAUGAC